GAUACUUCUUUAUCGACUGUACAAUCAGUUUCCUCAGUGAUCUCAAGCACUGCAGUUGUCGUAACACAUUGUGUUGUAUUGUGUCGCAAUAAUAUCUUCAAAUUUCUUUUAAAAAAUACGAGAGUAACACAAACAUUGGUUUGCUAGCUCAAAGUUCGUUUAAAUACGGCCAAUUCAUAGAUUCUAUUGGUACGAAUGCCAUGUAAAAUCUCAAAGAAUCGCGUGUGCUGUUAACUGGUGGACGAUUUCGACCGAGAAAGUCUUACUUUCAGAGGCCUUCCGGUUUCUAUUUUCUGUACGGUAUAUUCACUUUUUUUCACAAUUUUAGUGUAAAUAUGCAUUAAGUGUGUACCGACUUGAAUCUAAAUUCUUGAAAAAUUCUUCUCUAUUUUUGGUAAUGGAUUAAAAACAACGUGUUUCAAUUGACAAUCUCAGGAAAUAUAAAAUCAUAAAAAGCGUGAAGAUGCCGAUGGAAUUCUUGGACCGACUUCCAAUCCCAAACCUCCGAGUAUACACGGCAAUCAGCUUCGCCGUCUUAUCCUGUUCGGUAUAUUAUGCUGUUCAGAUCAUUAAGGAUCCAGCAUGGAAAAGCAACCACACUUAUGUGGAGACUGAGAGUGAAUCGGCCAAUGACAUCGAA
This is a long non-coding RNA of Apis dorsata (giant honeybee), 640 nucleotides long. RefSeq lists it as uncharacterized. The transcript is spliced from 2 exons. Lineage: Eukaryota; Metazoa; Arthropoda; Insecta; Hymenoptera; Apidae. The record is from RefSeq and is a predicted model, not a curated record.